AGAUUGGAGACUACAUAAGACUUUGACAGAUGGCAGGAAACCCUCAUGAACUGGAUAGAAGCCGGUAGAGGAAUGUCUGCGACUAAGCCGAGGGCCACUGGAUAAGGGUUGUUGAUGGUAAAACAGAUUGGAGACUACAUAAGACUUUGACAGAUGGCAGGAAACCCUCAUGAACUGGAUAGAAGCCGGUAAAUAGAUGGCCGUAAAACAGUGACUUUUGAUUCGUGACGAGUUCUUUCUUACAUACCGCGUGACCUAUCUUUUUUAUUGCUUAAAUCAAUUCGGCUUGGAA
Dreissena polymorpha is the source of this 292-nucleotide long non-coding RNA. RefSeq lists it as uncharacterized. The record is from RefSeq and is a predicted model, not a curated record. NCBI's taxonomy places the organism in Eukaryota, Metazoa, Mollusca, Bivalvia, Myida, Dreissenidae. The transcript has 3 exons.